Molecule: ribosomal RNA, 497 nt
Filed under: uncultured bacterium
Lineage: Bacteria
Description: partial 16S ribosomal RNA
Rfam family: Bacterial small subunit ribosomal RNA
Source: RNAcentral
GAUGAACGCUGGCGGCGUGCCUAAUACAUGCAAGUCGAGCGAACAGACGAGGAGCUUGCUCCUCUGACGUUAGCGGCGGACGGGUGAGUAACACGUGGAUAACCUACCUAUAAGACUGGGAUAACUUCGGGAAACCGGAGCUAAUACCGGAUAAUAUAUUGAACCGCAUGGUUCAAUAGUGAAAGACGGUUUUGCUGUCACUUAUAGAUGGAUCCGCGCCGCAUUAGCUAGUUGGUAAGGUAACGGCUUACCAAGGCAACGAUGCGUAGCCGACCUGAGAGGGUGAUCGGCCACACUGGAACUGAGACACGGUCCAGACUCCUACGGGAGGCAGCAGUAGGGAAUCUUCCGCAAUGGGCGGAAGCCUGACGGAGCAACGCCGCGUGAGUGAUGAAGGUCUUCGGAUUGUAAAACUCUGUUAUUAGGGAAGAACAAAUGUGUAAGUAACUAUGCACGUCUUGACGGUACCUAAUCAGAAAGCCACGGCUAACUACGUG